RNAcentral lists this transfer RNA (73 nucleotides) under Paramuricea clavata. It matches the Rfam family "tRNA". Rfam says of the family: Transfer RNA (tRNA) molecules are approximately 80 nucleotides in length. Their secondary structure includes four short double-helical elements and three loops (D, anti-codon, and T loops). Lineage: Eukaryota; Metazoa; Cnidaria; Anthozoa; Malacalcyonacea; Plexauridae. The record is from Rfam by way of RNAcentral.
CUCUCUGUAGCUCAGUUGGUUAGAGCGCUGCACCGGAAUCGCAGGGCCGUAGGUUCAAUUCCUGCCAGAGGAC